GUGAGAAUGCUGGCAUAAGUAGCGAAAAACAAGUGAGAAUCUUGUUGACCGAAUAUCUAAGGUUUCCUGGGGAAGGCUCGUCCUCCCAGGGUUAGUCGGGACCUAAGCCGAGGCCGAAAGGCGUAGGUGAUGGACAACUGGUUGAUAUUCCAGUACCACCAUAAUGCGUUUGACAAAUGGGAUGACGCAGGAGGAUAGGAUGUGCGCACUAUUGGAUGUGCGUCUAAGCACUUAGGGUGUUAAGUAGGCAAAUCCGCUUAACAUUAAGCCUGAGGUGUGAUGGGGAGCCUAUUUUGGCGAAGUAUCUGAUUCCCCGCUGCCAAGAAAAGUCUCUAUGGAGCAAAAUGGUGCCCGUACCGCAAACCGACACAGGUAGAUGAGGAGAGAAUCCUAAGGUCGUCGGAAGAAUUAUUGCUAAGGAACUCGGCAAAUUGACCCCGUAACUUAGGGAGAAGGGGUGCCUACGAGAGUAGGCCGCAGUGAAUAGGCUCAAGCAACUGUUUAUCAAAAACACAGGUCUCUGCUAAAGCGCAAGCUGAUGUAUAGGGGCUGACGCCUGCCCGGUGCUGGAAGGUUAAGGGGAAUAGUUAGCGCAAGCGAAGCUAUGAACUUAAGCCCCAGUAAACGGCGGCCGUAACUAUAACGGUCCUAAGGUAGCGAAAUUCCUUGUCGGGUAAGUUCCGACCCGCACGAAUGGCGUAAUGAUUUGAGCACUGUCUCGGCAAUAAAUCCGGUGAAAUUGUAGUGCAAGUGAAGAUGCUUGCUACCCGCGGUUGGACGGAAAGACCCCGUAGAGCUUUACUGUAGCUUAGCAUUGAAUUUCGGUAUUGUCUGUACAGGAUAGGUGGGAGACUUAGAAGCGAGGGCGUCAGCUUUCGUGGAGUCGUCCUUGGGAUACCACCCUGACAGUACUGGAAUUCUAACUGGAGGCCAUGAAUCUGGUCACAGGACAUUGCUAGGUGGGCAGUUUGACUGGGGCGG
Molecule: ribosomal RNA, 981 nt
Filed under: Clostridium botulinum D/C
Lineage: Bacteria; Bacillati; Bacillota; Clostridia; Eubacteriales; Clostridiaceae
Description: partial 23S ribosomal RNA
Rfam family: Bacterial large subunit ribosomal RNA
Source: RNAcentral